Molecule: long non-coding RNA, 7301 nt
Filed under: Salvia miltiorrhiza (redroot sage)
Lineage: Eukaryota; Viridiplantae; Streptophyta; Magnoliopsida; Lamiales; Lamiaceae
Description: long non-coding RNA (SMIL_LNC005898)
Source: RNAcentral
AACUAAAACUUAUUUUGCAUCUCCUGUCACAUGGUGAGGCCAAAAACAAUAUCCACAUCUAUGUAACAAACAAAAAACUGAUCAAAUAGAACAAAAGGGAACCAAUCACCAAACCAGAACCGCUUUUCCUUCAAAAAUGGUGAAGAACCACACAAAGAUCCAUCUGAAAUGGAAGUGCAUAAACAAUAAGCAAGGGGAAAGCCCAGGAAGAAGACAAUGACAGUAGAAAAAUAUUAUACUCCCUCUACAAUGCUUCACGUCCAACAACCAGACCAAGAUAGCCCCACCUUAAGCUCCGACUUUGGUAGAAUCAAAACUUAUUUUGUAUCUCCUGUCAAAGGGUGGGACCAAAAACAAUAUACACAUGUACGUAACAAACAAAAAAUAGAUUAAACAGAGCAAAAGGGAACCAAGCACCAAACCAGAACCGCCUUCCCACGAGAACUGGUUAAUUAGAACCCAAAGAUCAAACAUUUGAAGAUUAAAGAGCAUAACAAUAAGCAAAGGGAAAAAGUUCACCUAGAAGAUAAAUCACAAUAGAAAAAUAAUAUACUCCUGUUGACACCCACCAUAAACACUAUACCAAUGGCAGCAUCCAAGAUUGGUCCAUAUCCAAAUAACCAGACCAAGAUAGCCUCACCUUAAAUACCUAACUUUGAUGGAAUCAAAACCAAUUUUGUAUCUCCUGACACAGGGUGAGGCAGAAAACAAGGUCCAAGUCUACGUAACAAAAUAAAACUAUAAUAGAGAGCAAAGAUAACCAAGGAUCAAACCAGAACAGUCUUCCACAGAAGCCUGAUUAAGAAACACACAACGAUCCGGCAUCUGGAAAUUGAAAAGAAUAACGAUAAGCAAGGGAAAGUUUAGGUAGAAUAUAAAAUUUAGUAAAAAAGUUACAAUACUAUACUCCCUAUGCAACCCUUGAUAAACACUAUAUCAAUGACAGCGUCAAAGGUUGCUCCGUGUCCAACAAUCAGACCAAGAUUGCACCACCAUAAGCUCCUACUUUGAUAGAAUCAAAACUUAAUUUAUAUUUUGUGUCAUAGGGUGAUGCAGAAAACAAUAUCCACGCCAACGUAACAAACAAAAAACUGAUGAAAGAGAAAAAAGAUAACAAAGCAUCAAACCGAACAGCCUUCCAAUUAAGAACCACAACGAUCAGAAAUCUGAAAAUUGAAGAGUAUAACGACAAGCACCGGAAACUCUAGGUAGAAGAGAAAAUAUAGUAGAAGAAAAUGUAGUAUAACAAUCUGCAUCCCUCAAUAAACAUUAUAUCAAUUGACAUCUUAUAUUAGUCCGCAUCCAACAACCCCACCAAGUUGGCCCCCACCUUAAGCUCCCACUUUGAUAGAAUAAAACUGAAUUUGUAUCUCCUGUCACAGGGUGAGGGCGAAAAAAAUAUCAAAGUCUACGUAACAAAAAAAAAAAAACUAUAAUAGAGAACACAGACAACCAAGCGUCAAACAAGAACUGCCUUUCAGAGAAGCUUGAUUAAGAACAAAACAGCAACCAAAGAUUUGUCCAUGUCCAAAAACCAGACCAAGAUAGCCCCCACCUUAAGCUCCUACUUUGAUAGAAUCAAAACCUAUUUUGUAUCUCCUGUCACAGGGUGAGGCUGAAAACAACAUCCAAGUCUACAUAACAGCAAAAGAACUAUAAUUGAGAGAGCAAAGAUAACCAAUUAUCAAACCCGAACUGCCUUCCAGUUAAACUUGAUUAAGAACCACAUAAUGAACAGGCAUCUGGAAAUGGAAGAGAGACUAACAAUAACCACAGGAAAGUCUAGAUGGAAGAUAAAUUGUAGUAGAAAAAAAUACUAUAUUAUACUCCCUCUGCCAUCCUCGAUAAACACUAUAAUUGACAGCGUCAAAGGUUGAUCUGUGGCCAAUAUAACUAAACCAAGAUUAGCCCCACCUUGAGCUCCUACUUUGAUAAAAUCAAAACAAAAUUUUUAUCAUCUGCCAUAGGAUGAGGCAGAAAUACAAUAUACACGUAUACGUAACAAACAAAAAAACUGAUGAUAGAGAGAAAAGAUAAACCCAGCAUCAAACCAGAAGUGCCUUCAAGUAAAGAACACCUGGAAAUUGAAGAGUAUAACGAUAAGUAUAGGAAACUCAAGGUAAAAGAGAAAACGUAAAAAAAAAAAAAAUAACUAUACUGUACACCAUCUGCCACCCUCGACAAACACUAUAUCAAUGAUGGCAUCAUAGAUUAGUCCAUAUCCAAAAACCAGACCAAGAUAACCCCCACCUUAAGCUUCAACUUUGAUAGAAUCAAAACCUAUUUUGUCUCCUGGCACAGGGUGAGGACCAAAACAUUGUCCAAGUCUACAUAACAAAUAAACAAUAAUUACAGAGCAAAGGUGACCAAUUAGCAAACCAGAACAGCCUUCCCGUGAAGCUUGAUUAAAAACCACACAGCGAUCAGGCAUCUGGAAAUUGAUGAGAACAACGGUAAGCAUGGGAAAGUCUAGGUAGAAGAUAAAAGAUAGUAAAAAAAAAAAAAACUAUUCUAUACUCUCUUUGCCAGGCCCACACCACUAUAUCAAUGACAGCAUCAAAGGUAGAUCCGUGUUCAAUAACCAGGCCAACAUUAGCCACACCAUAAGCUCCUUCUUUCAAAACUUAAUUUUUAUCUCCUAUCAUAGGGUGAGGCAGAGAACAAUAUCCACGUCUACAUAACAACAAAAAAUUGUUGAAACUGACAAAAGAUAACCAAGAAAACAAGAAGUGCCAUCCAUUAUGGAAAUUGAAGAGUAUAACUAUAAACACGGGAAACUCUAGGUAGAAGAGAAAAUGUAGUAGAAAAAAAAAAUACUAUUAUGUAUUUCCUUUGCGACCCUCGAUUUACAAUAUACCAAUGAUAACAUCAAAGAUCUGUCCGCGUCCAAAAACCAGACCAAGAUAGCCCCCACAUUAAGCUCCUACAGUGAUGGAAUCAAAACCUAUUUUGUAUCUCCUGUCACAGGGUAGGCCCAAAACAAUAUCCAAGUCUAUAUAACAACAAAAGAAAUAUAAUAGAGAGAUCAAAUGCAACCAAUUAUGAACCCAGAACUGCCUUCCAGUUAAGCUUGAUUAAGAACCACACAACGAUCAGGCAUCUGGAAAUUGAAGAGAAUAACAAUAAGCACGGGAAAGUCAAGAUGGAAGAUAAAUUGUAGCAGAAUUAAUACAAUACUAUACUCCCUCUGACACCCUCGAUAAACAUUAUAUCAGUGACAGCAUCAAAAGUUGAUAUGUCUCCAAUAACUAGACCAAGAUUAGCCCCACCAUAAGCUGCUUCUUUCACAACUUAAUUUUUAACCCCUGUCACAAGGUGAGGCAGAAAACAAUAUCCACGUCUACGUAACAAAUAAAAGAUUGUUGAAACUGACAAAAGAUAACCAAGCAUACCAGAAGUGCCUUCCAGUUAAGAACCACACAACAAUCAGACAUCUGGAAAUUGAAGAGUAUAACUAUUAGCACGGGAAACUCUAGGUAGAAGAGAAAAUGUAGUAGAAAAAAAAUACUAUUAUGUACUCCAUGUACUCCCUUUACCACCCACAUUAAACUAUAUCAAUGACAGCAUGAAGGAUUUGUCAGUGUACCAAAAACCAGACCAAGACACGCCCCCACCUUAAGCUCCUACUUUGAUAGAAUCAGAACCUAUUUUGUAUCUCCUAUCACAGGGUGAGGCUGAAACCAACAUCGAGUCUAAAUAACAACAAAAGAACUACAAUAGAGAGAGCAAAGGUAACCAACUAUCAAACCCGAACUGCCGUCCAGUAAGCUUGAUUAAGAACCACACAACGAUCGGGCAUCUGGAAAUGGAAGAGAAUAACGAUAAGCACCGGAAGGUCUAGAUGGAAGAUAAAUUGUAUUAGAAGAAAUACUAUACUAACUCCCUCUGCCACCCUCGAAAAACAUAUCAUGACCAUCAAAGGAUUGAUUGUGUGCAAUAACUGACUAAGAUUAGCCCUACCUUAAGCCCUACUUUGAUAAAAUUAAAACUUAAUUUUUAUCUCAUGUCAUAGGGUGGGGCAGAAAACAAUAUCACGUCUAUGUACAAACAAAAAUUGUUGAAAUGACAAAAGAUAACCAAACAUCAAACCAGAAGUGUCAUCCAGUUAAGAACCACCCCACGAUCAGACAUCUGGAAAUUGAAGAGUAUAUCUAUAAGCACGGGAAACUCUAGGUAGAAGAGAAAAUGUAUAGAAAUAAAAAUACUAUUAUGUACUCCCUUUGCCACCCUCGAUUAACACAAUAUCAAUGACUCAUCAAAGAUCUGUCCGCGUCCAAAAACCAGACCAAGAUAGCCCCCACAUUAAGCUCCUACAGUGAUGGAAUCAAAACCUAUUUUGUAUCUCCUGUCACAGGGUAGGCCCAAAACAAUAUCCAAGUCUAUAUAACAACAAAAGAAUAUAAUAGAGAGAUCAAAUGCAACCAAUUAUGAACCCAGAACUGCCUUCCAGUUAAGCUUGAUUAAGAACCAAACAACGAUCAGGCAUCUGGAAAUCGAAGAGAAUAACAAUAAGCACGGGAAAGUCAAGAUGGAAGAUAAAUUGUAGCAGAAUUAAUACAAUACUAUACUCCCUCUGACACCCUCGAUAAACAUUAUAUCAGUGACAGCAUCAAAAGUUGAUGUCUCCAGUAACUAGACCAAGAUUAGCCCCACCAUAAGCUGCUUCUUUCACAACUUAAUUUUUAACUCCUGUCACAAGGUGAGGCAGAAAACAAUAUCCACGUCUACGUAACAAAUAAAAGAUUGUUGAAACUGACAAAAGAUAACCAAGCAUACCAGAAGUGCCUUCCAGUUAAGAACCACACAACAAUCAGACAUCUGGAAAUUGAAGAGUAUAACUAUUAGCACGGGAAACUCUAGGUAGAAGAGAAAAUGUAGGUAGAAAAAAAAUACUAUUAGUACUCCCUUUACCACCCACUAUUAACACUAUAUCAAUGACAGCAUGAAGGAUUUGUCAGUGUCCAAAAACCAGACCAAGACAGCCCCCACCUUAAGCUCCUACUUGAUAGAAUCAGAACCUAUUUUGUAUCUCCUAUCACAGGGUGAGGCUGAAACCAACAUCCGAGUCUAAAUAACAACAAAAGAACUACAAUAGAGAGAGCAAAGGUAACCAACUAUCAAACCCGAACUGCCGUCCAGUUAAGCUUGAUUAAGAACCACACAACGAUCGGGCAUCUGGAAAUGAAGAGAAUAACGAUAAGCACCGGAAGGUCUAGAUGGAAGAUAAAUUGUAUAGAAGAAAUACUAUACUAUACUCCCUCUGCCACCCUCGAUAAACACACUAUAUAGUGACCACGUCAAAGGAUUGACUUGUGUGCAAUAACUUGACUAAGAUUAGCCCUACCUUAAGCUCCUACUUGAUAAAAUUAAAACUUAAUUUUUAUCUCAUGUCAUAGGGUGGGGCAGAAAACAAUAUCCACGUCUAUGUAGCAAACAAAAUUGUUGAACUGACAAAAGAUAACCAAACAUCAAACAGAAGUGUCUCCAGUUAAGAACCACCCCACGAUCAGACAUCUGGAAAUUGAAGAGUAUAUCUAUAAGCACGGGAAACUCGAGGUAGAAGAGAAAAUGUAGUAGAAUAAAAAUACUAUUAUGUACUCCCUUUGCCACCCUCGAUUAACACAAUAUCAAUGACUACAUCAAAGAUCUGUCGCGUCCAAAAACCAGACCAAGAUAGCCCCCACAUUAAGCUCCUACAGUGAUGGAAUCAAAACCUAUUUUGUAUCUCCUGUCACAGGGUAGGCUCAAAACAAUAUCCAAGUCUAUAUAACAACAAAAGAAAUAUAAUAGAGAGAUCAAAUGCAACCAAUUAUGAACCCAGAACUGCCUUCCAGUUAAGCUUGAUUAAGAACCAAACAACGAUCAGGCAUCUGGAAAUCGAAGAGAAUAACAAUAAGCACGGGAAAGUCAAGAUGGAAGAUAAAUUGUAGCAGAAUUAAUACAAUACUAUACUCCCUCUGACACCCUCGAUAAACAUUAUAUCAGUGACAGCAUCAAAAGUUGAUAGUCUCCAUAACUAGACCAAGAUUAGCCCCACCAUAAGUGCUUCUUUCACAACUUAAUUUUUAACCCCUGUCACAAGGUGAGGCAGAAAACAAUAUCCACGUCUACGUAACAAAUAAAAGAUUGUUGAAACUGACAAAAGAUAACCAAGCAUACCAGAAGUGCCUUCCAGUUAAGAACCACACAACAUCAGACAUCUGGAAAUUGAAGAGUAUAUCUAUAGCACGGGAAAUUCUAGGUAGAAGAGAAAAUGUAGUAGAAAAAAAAUACUAUUAUGUACUCCCUUUCCACCCCGAUUAAACAUAUCAAUGACCAUAAGAUUGUCGGUCCAAAAACCAGACCAAGACAGCCCCCACCUUAAGCUCCUACUUUGAUAGAAUCAGAACCUAUUUUGUAUCUCCUAUCACAGGGUGAGGCUGAAACCAACAUCGAGUCUAAAUAACAACAAAAGAACUACAAUAGAGAAAGCAAAGGUAACCAACUAUCAAACCCGAACUGCCGUCCAGUUAAGCUUGAUUAAGAACCACACAACGAUCGGGCAUCUGGAAAUGGAAGAGAAUAACGAUAAGCACCGGAAGGUCUAGAUGGAAGAUAAAUUGUAUUAGAAGAAAUACUAUCUAUACUCCCUCUGCCACCCUCGAUAAACACACUAUAUCAGUGACCACGUCAAAGGAUUGACUUGUGUGCAAUAACUUGACUAAGAUUAGCCCUACUUAAGCUCCUACUUUGAUAAAAUUAAAACUUAAUUUUUAUCUCAUGUCAUAGGGUGGGGCAGAAAACAAUAUCCACGUCUAUGUACAAACAAAAUUGUUGAAAUGACAAAAGAUAACCAAACAUCAAACCAGAAGUGUCUCCAGUUAAGAACCACCCAGAUCAGACAUACUGGAAAUUGAAGGUAUAUCUAUAAGACACGGAAAUUGGUAGAAGAGAAAAUUAAGUAGAAUAAAAACUAUUAUGUACUCCCUUUGCCACCCUCGAUUAACACAAUAUCAAUGACUCAUCAAAGAUCUGUCCGCGUACCAAAAACCAGACCAAGAUACCCCACAUUAAGCUCCUACAGUGAUGGAAUCAAAACCUAUUUUGUAUCUCCUGUCACAGGGUAGGCCCAAAACAAUAUCCAAGUCUAUAUAACAACAAAAGAUAUAUAAUAGAGAGAUCAAAUGCAACCAAUUAUGAACCCAGAACUGCCUUCCAGUUAAGCUUGAUUAAGAACCAAACAACGAUCAGGCAUCUGGAAAUCGAAGAGAAUAACAAUAAGCACGGGAAAGUCAAGAUGGAAGAUAAAUUAUAGCAGAAUU